CGAACGCUGGCGGCGUGCUUAACACAUGCAAGUCGAACGAUGAAGCCUUUCGGGGUGGAUUAGUGGCGAACGGGUGAGUAACACGUGGGCAAUCUGCCCUUCACUCUGGGACAAGCCCUGGAAACGGGGUCUAAUACCGGAUAACACUNUGUCCCGCAUGGGACGGGGUUAAAAGCUCCGGCGGUGAAGGAUGAGCCCGCGGCCUAUCAGCUUGUUGGUGGGGUAAUGGCCUACCAAGGCGACGACGGGUAGCCGGCCUGAGAGGGCGACCGGCCACACUGGGACUGAGACACGGCCCAGACUCCUACGGGAGGCAGCAGUGGGGAAUAUUGCACAAUGGGCGAAAGCCUGAUGCAGCGACGCCGCGUGAGGGAUGACGGCCUUCGGGUUGUAAACCUCUUUCAGCAGGGAAGAAGCGAAAGUGACGGUACCUGCAGAAGAAGCGCCGGCUAACUACGUGCCAGCAGCCGCGGUAAUACGUAGGGCGCAAGCGUUGUCCGGAAUUAUUGGGCGUAAAGAGCUCGUAGGCGGCUUGUCACGUCGGAUGUGAAAGCCCGGGGCUUAACCCCGGGUCUGCAUUCGAUACGGGCUAGCUAGAGU
This 600-nucleotide ribosomal RNA is filed under the name Streptomyces sp. YIM C663. RNAcentral describes it as "bacterial SSU rRNA". It matches the Rfam family "Bacterial small subunit ribosomal RNA", at positions 30 to 647 of the family's 1533-position model. Lineage: Bacteria; Bacillati; Actinomycetota; Actinomycetes; Kitasatosporales; Streptomycetaceae. The record is from RNAcentral.